CACGCCGCGUGAGUGAAGAAGGUUUUCGGAUCGUAAAACUCUGUUGUUGGAGAAGAACACGUUUGAGAGUAACUGUUCAGACGUUGACGGUAUCCAACCAGAAAGCCACGGCUAACUACGUGCCAGCAGCCGCGGUAAUACGUAGGUGGCAAGCGUUAUCCGGAUUUAUUGGGCGUAAAGCGAGCGCAGGCGGUUUCUUAAGUCUGAUGUGAAAGCCUUCGGCUUAACCGAAGAAGUGCAUCGGAAACUGGGAAACUUGAGUGCAGAAGAGGACAGUGGAACUCCAUGUGUAGCGGUG
RNAcentral lists this ribosomal RNA (298 nucleotides) under uncultured Lactobacillus sp. RNAcentral's name for it is "partial 16S rRNA". It matches the Rfam family "Bacterial small subunit ribosomal RNA", at positions 393 to 683 of the family's 1533-position model. Lineage: Bacteria; Bacillati; Bacillota; Bacilli; Lactobacillales; Lactobacillaceae. The record is from RNAcentral.